Molecule: ribosomal RNA, 657 nt
Filed under: uncultured Lachnospiraceae bacterium
Lineage: Bacteria; Bacillati; Bacillota; Clostridia; Lachnospirales; Lachnospiraceae
Description: bacterial SSU rRNA
Rfam family: Bacterial small subunit ribosomal RNA
Source: RNAcentral
UCUUCGGAUGAUUGAUUGGUGACUGAGUGGCGGACGGGUGAGUAACGCGUGGGUAACCUGCCCUGUACAGGGGGAUAACAGUUGGAAACGGCUGCUAAUACCGCAUAAGCGCACGAGAGGACAUCCUUUCGUGUGAAAAACUCCGGUGGUACAGGAUGGGCCCGCGUCUGAUUAGCUGGUUGGCAGGGUAACGGCCUACCAAGGCGACGAUCAGUAGCCGGUCCGAGAGGAUGAACGGCCACAUUGGAACUGAGACACGGUCCAAACUCCUACGGGAGGCAGCAGUGGGGAAUAUUGCACAAUGGGGGAAACCCUGAUGCAGCAACGCCGCGUGAGUGAAGAAGUAUUUCGGUAUGUAAAGCUCUAUCAGCAGGGAAGAUAAUGACGGUACCUGACUAAGAAGCUCCGGCUAAAUACGUGCCAGCAGCCGCGGUAAUACGUAUGGAGCAAGCGUUAUCCGGAUUUACUGGGUGUAAAGGGUGCGUAGGUGGCAGUGCAAGUCAGAUGUGAAAGGCCGGGGCUCAACCCCGGAGCUGCAUUUGAAACUGCAUAGCUAGAGUACAGGAGAGGCAGGCGGAAUUCCUAGUGUAGCGGUGAAAUGCGUAGAUAUUAGGAGGUACACCAGUGGCGAAGGCGGCCUGCUGGACUGUUACUGAC